AUGGUCCGAGUUCGAGUCGGGAUUGCCACCUAUAGCGGCGGAGAGCAGGCGGAGAGCGUCCCCAAUCCCUCUCAAGGAGAGCGGGUAUGCCUAGUCCCUUAUUUAAUAAGAGAACUUGGAUUUCCAAUUCAUCCGUUUCUCCGAGGGUUGCUGGAGUUCUACGGCCUCCAGCUACACAACCUCACGCCUGCCUCCAUUCUGCAUGUUGCGGGCUUCGUGGCCCUCUGCGAGCUGUUUUUGGGCAUCGAGGCCCAUUUCGCGCUGUGGAAAAGGUUGUUCUGCCUUGUGCCCCGCUCUCAGGAGGGGUCAAUUUAUGAAGUGGGCGGAGCCGAACUAUGGCGCAUCGCCGGGACCGGAUAUCUAUCCGGUACCCCACAGAAGGCGUCUGAGGACUGGCCUUCGGAAUGGUUUUAUAUGGACGACGUCCCCCUGCCGGACCCUGUUCGGAUCGGCCUUCUGAGUUUAGUAAUGCUCCGUUGA
RNAcentral lists this ribosomal RNA (480 nucleotides) under Triticum aestivum (bread wheat). RNAcentral describes it as "partial small subunit ribosomal RNA". Lineage: Eukaryota; Viridiplantae; Streptophyta; Magnoliopsida; Poales; Poaceae. The record is from RNAcentral.